UACUCCACACGCAUUUAUCACGUCCUCCCGGCAGCGUGGCAGGCACCAGGGACAUCGAGAUGAAUAACACUCGCAAUGCUGUUGUCAAGGAACUGGCUCUCUGGGAAGGGAGGAAAUAAAAUACAAGCGCAGAAGAGAGCAAAGGAGCUCAGAGCCAGCUAGGAAAGAGACCGUAGAUUGCAGGAAAUCUGUGACAUUGCUACACUUCGCCAACCUCUGUUGAGUCUAUUUUCUCAUCUUGAUCCACUUGGAUGAUGGCCUACUGUUGCAAAGGAGAAAGAGGAAGAAAUCCAGACCCUGAGUGCUGACAGGUUAGAAGAACUAAUCUGGGUCUGGUCUGGAAGUGUCCUGCCUGAAGACAAGCUCUCAUGGUAUCAGAGAGAGUUGUACAAGCUGCCAAGAGAGAAAAGCAACCAAUACUCUUACCCAACUGUAAAGUCUGUGAACCACCACAGUGACUGACCCGACAUGAUAGUCUGAAAGGCGCAAUGGUGGUACACAUCCUGGGGGUAACCAAUGGCUACCUAAUUAGAUUUAAGGUCUGACGGAUGGGAGGGCAUAGAUGCCUGGCACUUUAAACUUAGCUCACUACCCAUGACUGGUGAUGGCGUGAAACCUAGAGGAGAACCUACUUUGGCUGCCUUCCUAAACCAGUGUGAUUCGGAACUGCGAGAUAACUGCUGGUCCCCAUACCCACAGGAGAGACGAUGACUAUUCCUGAAAUGGCAGAUUGGGUUCAUCGUGUAUGCAGACUCUGAUUGCUCCGCCGCCAUGGCUGCCUGGAGCACUGGGCUGAAAAGGACCCAGCUCCUGCAUGAGGGUGUCUCCGUGGUGUGUGAUGUGUGAUUCAAUGCUUUUGAAAGAGUCAGAGAUGGAGUUCAAGACUUCCACCAGACUCUGCACUCGGAAGCAGGCAGGGGACCUAUCCCUGCCUACUCUGGAGUCUAAGGGAGAGCCUGUGCGAUUGGAUCCUUGAUAAUUUUUGGUUGUGAGCCUAGCCUCUUAGGGCCGAGCCAUCUCUCCAGCCCUUUGAUACUGGAAAAAAAUGUUUAUUAAAUAAGUAAAUGAAGGGA
Molecule: non-coding RNA, 1073 nt
Organism: Rattus norvegicus (Norway rat)
Lineage: Eukaryota; Metazoa; Chordata; Mammalia; Rodentia; Muridae
Source: RefSeq, a predicted model, not a curated record